GUCUACGGCCAUACCACCCUGAACGCGCCCGAUCUCGUCUGAUCUCGGAAGCUAAGCAGGGUCGGGCCUGGUUAGUACUUGGAUGGGAGAUGAAAAGAUGGGUUGGAAAGCAAAGAGAGGUUUAUACC
Ribosomal RNA from Mustela putorius furo (domestic ferret), 128 nucleotides. The record is from Ensembl. NCBI's taxonomy places the organism in Eukaryota, Metazoa, Chordata, Mammalia, Carnivora, Mustelidae.